UUUUCUUCUGCACUACUUUCCUAAUAAACCCUGGCUACUAGGUAGCCUUUGAUGACCUCCAAGUAGUUUACCUAUGCAACUUGUCAUAUCCCAUCCAUUCAUCUUUUUUUUUUUCUCUGCUAUUUCAGGAAGAAGUUCCCAGGGGAGGUUUUUGGUAUAAAUUUGGCCUUCUCCUGGUUUUGUUUUGGCCACUUUUCUUCAUAAGUUUCAGCUUUCCUCAAGAAGUUCUGAGAGAAGUGCGUCACAAAUCUUGCAGCAGUUUGGUGGGAUGUCACAGCACGCAUCGGGAAAUGCACCUGUGUCUUUGCAGUUGUAUUUCCUUUGGAAAAGACUUUUCUACUUUUAAUAUGAAUUAAGCCAUAAUAAUUUCAUGCUGUGGAACAAGAAUGGAGAGCUUCACUUUAAGAGAUUAUAUAAUACAAACUUUCACAUUUACUGUGAAAUGACUUGACUUUGCCAGUGCUUCAGCAGGUUUUGUGGUGAUAUUUUGGAGGGGGGAUAUGAUAUUUUGUUUUUUAAUCUGUGAAAUUUUAAAAGGGGACAGUUGUUGGCUAUGGUAUUUACUAGUUUUGUAGUAAUGUUUUGCUAACCUGACUGCCUUUCUUCCCCAAUGAUUUUUAUGGUCCAAGUUGACUCUUGAUAUUCUUUCUUACUUUGGGUGUCUCUGGGGGUAGUAUCUUGUCUAUUUGUAUAGGUUGUCGGUGUGUGUGCACAGGGUGUGUCCUUUUGUUACAGAAACACACUGGGUUGCAAUUGGGUGUUUGGCUGGGAAAUGGGGUUGCUGAAGUGUGAAGAACGUUUUUGUUUUUGUUUUUUUUUUUCCAAUUCAUAACAGUAUUUCCCAUCUUUUGCCUGCAGGCAGGGAAAGUGUAUGUACAGUAUUUAUUUUGUUUCUAUUUUACUUUAAAUUUGUAAGUUUUGAAGUAGCUUAUGUUGGUCAUAGGGAAGGACAAGUGACUUGUUUAAAUUUGUAUUUGGUAUUCAUACUUUCCAAUUUCUGUACUUUUAAGAUACUGAGAUUAAAAUUGGUAUUAAUUUUUGUUUUGAUUUUAGCACGCCAGUGUAAUUUUUUUGUUGUUCAUUUUGUUUGAAAGUAUAAAUGCUGAAAGCUGUGUAAACUGUGUCUUUGGAAGAAAAAAAUUCUGAAUUCUAUUUCCAAUUCUGACUCUGCCACUUUACUGUCUCCUGACUCAGAAUAUUCUUUGGGGUUGUGGGAAGUGACCAUAAAUAUAUUUCAUCUUAUAUUUCUGAGGAUUGAAAAUUAAGAUUAAAAAAAAUUACUAGAUAAUUUCCUAAAUGUUAAUAGAACCUUUAAUUGGGCCUAGUCU
This 1328-nucleotide long non-coding RNA is filed under the name Sarcophilus harrisii (Tasmanian devil). Its description in RNAcentral is "lncRNA (ENSSHAG00000021200.1)". Lineage: Eukaryota; Metazoa; Chordata; Mammalia; Dasyuromorphia; Dasyuridae. The record is from RNAcentral.